RNAcentral lists this ribosomal RNA (556 nucleotides) under uncultured Bacteroidota bacterium. RNAcentral describes it as "bacterial SSU rRNA". It matches the Rfam family "Bacterial small subunit ribosomal RNA", at positions 356 to 912 of the family's 1533-position model. Lineage: Bacteria; Pseudomonadati; Bacteroidota. The record is from RNAcentral.
GGGGUAUAUUGGUCAAUGGACGCAAGUCUGAACCAGCCAUGCCGCGUGCAGGAUGAAGGCCCUCUGGGUUGUAAACUGCUUUUAUCUGGGACGAAAAAAGGGGAUUCUUCCUCACUUGACGGUACCAGAGGAAUAAGCACCGGCUAACUCCGUGCCAGCAGCCGCGGUAAUACGGAGGGUGCAAGCGUUAUCCGGAUUUACUGGGUUUAAAGGGUGCGUAGGUGGGUAAGUAAGUCAGUGGUGAAAUCUUCGAGCUUAACUCGGAAACUGCCAUUGAUACUAUUUAUCUUGAAUACUCUGGAGGUAAGCGGAAUAUGUCAUGUAGCGGUGAAAUGCAUAGAUAUGACAUAGAACACCAAUUGCGAAGGCAGCUGGCUACACAAAUAUUGACGCUGAUGCACGAAAGCGUGGGGAUCAAACAGGAUUAGAUACCCUGGUAGUCCACGCCCUAAACGAUGAUUACUCGACAUUUGCGAUAUACAGUAAGUGUCUGAGCGAAAGCAUUAAGUAAUCCACCUGGGAAGUACGACCGCAAGGUUGAAACUCAAAGGAAUUG